RNAcentral lists this long non-coding RNA (398 nucleotides) under Cricetulus griseus (Chinese hamster). RNAcentral describes it as "lncRNA (ENSCGRG00015034576.1)". Lineage: Eukaryota; Metazoa; Chordata; Mammalia; Rodentia; Cricetidae. The record is from RNAcentral.
GUCACCAUGUGAUCCUGGGAUGAGGACGCCAAUGGAAGGCAUCCUAAAUAAGGCAUUUGUCAAUUGGAGAUAGCUUGUUGGCUAAAGGCAGAAGACAGUAUCCACUCCUCCCUCUCAAUGCUGGGACCUCAUCUGGUUUGAACCUGUGCUGCCUUGUGUGUGCUGAACAUUAUCUUUGAGUUUAUAUGUUAGUGCAGCUCUUCAUCAUCACAGAAGUUUCUUUAUGCAGUGGACAAUGUUAAUGCAGAAACUCACAAGCAGUCGGUGUGCAGAGGAAUCUGCCUCUCAGGCUGUGAGCUGCCCUGUAGAGAAAGCCCAACAGUAAGGAACAGGGAUGCCUUUUGGACAAGAACCAGAAAACAGCUCAACAUAAUAUGCCUGCCAGAACAUGAUUUUGC